UGAGCCAAGGAUUCUCCUAGGCUGUAAGGCUAGAGGUAGCAGCAUCAUGAGAGGGAACUCACACAGAGAGAAAGAAGACUGCACUGAAAUGCUGUGGGAGUAUCACGUAGCUGGCAGCACCUUUAUCGGGGUCUGGGAAGAGACCUCUGAACUGUGGGAAAAGCAGCAGUCCAUAAAAUAUGUGAUAGACACAGGAAAUCAGGGCUGGAGAUGAGAAGAGGCUGAUCUCUCAGCCAGCAAAACACAACGGUCCAUGUCUAAUCCUAGCAUCCUUUAAACAACUGGGGAGGAUUCUAAGUGUCAAGCAUGCAGGAAAUCACAAC
Long non-coding RNA from Alligator sinensis (Chinese alligator), 323 nucleotides. RefSeq lists it as uncharacterized. The transcript has 3 exons. NCBI's taxonomy places the organism in Eukaryota, Metazoa, Chordata, Crocodylia, Alligatoridae. The record is from RefSeq and is a predicted model, not a curated record.